UUUUGAUUGAGAAUGACUUGUUUAUACCUCCAAACUUUAACACCUGAUAUUUUUAUUAUCUAGAGCUCGUGAAUUAAUAAUUUGAUUUGCCAUCUUCAGAGAAAAAAAGAAGAUAUUCAAAACUUAAUCUUUUAUCUUCAAUUUUUAAAACAUAAUCCAUUGUACAGCAUUUUGGACCAUUAAGAGCUGGGCAAGACAACCAAACCGUGCAAUGGUGCUGAAAGUACCAUUAUUGUAAUCUGGACUUCUACAGUCCAUUUGAGGGUGUAGUUUUCCUCCCUAAGGGCGUUGUAACGGACAUAAAUUAAGGCUUAGAAAUAAGAACGUCACAACAACAGUGACGUUGUCUACAUAUAGAGAGGUAGCAGGAACACCUCUUGUGCAAUUCUUAACACCUCCAUAUACUCCAUCCACCAUCUAAAGCUGGUAUGACACAAGAUCCAAUAGUGUUGAAAAGUAAAAAGCAAUAUGAUUAUUGUAAUCAAGACUUCUCCAGUUCAUUUAAAGGAAUGUUACUGUGAUACAGGGUUUUCCAUCAUUAAGAGCUGGGCACGACAAAAGAACCAAUAAUAGUGAAAUUAGCAUUUUGGUAAUUUCGACCUUUCCAGUCUUGUUUAUGUCAGUUGAAAUCAUUUGAAAAACAAAAAUUUAUAAUGUGUUCCAAAGAA
Molecule: long non-coding RNA, 668 nt
Filed under: Mytilus galloprovincialis (Mediterranean mussel)
Lineage: Eukaryota; Metazoa; Mollusca; Bivalvia; Mytilida; Mytilidae
Source: RNAcentral